RNAcentral lists this ribosomal RNA (497 nucleotides) under uncultured bacterium. RNAcentral's name for it is "partial 16S ribosomal RNA". It matches the Rfam family "Bacterial small subunit ribosomal RNA", at positions 28 to 507 of the family's 1533-position model. The record is from RNAcentral.
GACGAACGCUGGCGGCGUGCCUAAUACAUGCAAGUAGAACGCUGAAGCUUGGUGCUUGCACCUAGCGGAUUAGUUGCGAACGGGUGAGUAACGCGUAGGUAACCUGCCUGUUAGCGUGGGAUAACUAUUGGAAACGAUAGCUAAUACCGCAUAACAUUAUAUAUCGCAUGAUAGCUACUUGAAAGGUGCAAAUGCACCACUACCAGAUGGACCUGCGUUGUAUUAGCUAGUUGGUGAGGUAACGGCUCACCAAAGCAACGAUACAUAGCCGACCUGAGAGGGGGAUCGGCCACACUGGGACUGAGACAAGGCCCAGACUCCUACGGGAGGCAGCAGUAGGGAAACCUCGGCAAUGGACGGAAGUCUGACCGGACAACGCCGCGGGAGUGAAGAAGGUUUUCGGAUCGUAAAGCUCUGUUGUAAGAGAAGAACGAGUGUGAGAGUGGAAAGUUCACACUGUGACGGUAUCUUACCAGAAAGGGACGGCUAACUACGUG